This 230-nucleotide ribosomal RNA is filed under the name uncultured Alicycliphilus sp. RNAcentral describes it as "partial 16S ribosomal RNA". It matches the Rfam family "Bacterial small subunit ribosomal RNA", at positions 548 to 774 of the family's 1533-position model. Lineage: Bacteria; Pseudomonadati; Pseudomonadota; Betaproteobacteria; Burkholderiales; Comamonadaceae. The record is from RNAcentral.
AGAGAUGCACUGGGUUUAAAGAGUGCGCAGGCGGUUUUGUAAGACAGAGGUGAAAUCCCCGGGCUCAACCUGGGAACUGCCUUUGUGACUGCAAGGCUGGAGUGCGGCAGAGGGGGAUGGAAUUCCGCGUGUAGCAGUGAAAUGCGUAGAUAUGCGGAGGAACACCGAUGGCGAAGGCAAUCCCCUGGGCCUGCACUGACGCUCAUGCACGAAAGCGUGGGGAGCAAACA